CCUACCUCCCGUGUGUCGUCCGUGCGAGUCUCGAGAGGUUCGAUUCUGGCUCAGAACGAACGCUGGCGGCGCGUUUAAGCAUGCAAGUCGAGCGGCAAGGGCCUCGGGCCCUAGAGCGGCGGACGGGUGAGUAACACGUGGACAAUCUGCCCCCCGGCCCGGGAUAGCCCAGGGAAACCUGGAUUAAUACCGGAUGAGACGGGACCUGCGAUGGCGGGAUCCGGGAAAGGCGCUACGGCGCCGCCGGGGGAUGAGUCUGCGUCCCAUUAGCUAGACGGCGGGGUAACGGCCCACCGUGGCGACGAUGGGUAGCCGGCCUGAGAGGGUGGACGGCCACAUUGGAACUGAGACACGGUCCAGACUCCUACGGGAGGCAGCAGCUAAGAAUCUUCCGCAAUGGGCGAAAGCCUGACGGAGCGACGCCCGCGUGAACGAAGAAGGCCGUGAGGUUGUAAAGUUCUUUUCGGGAGGGGGAACAACCGUGGCAGGGAAUGGCCGCGGGAUGACGUGAAUCCCGGAAUAAGCCCCGGCUAACUACGUGCCAGCAGCCGC
Molecule: ribosomal RNA, 552 nt
Filed under: uncultured bacterium
Lineage: Bacteria
Description: bacterial SSU rRNA
Rfam family: Bacterial small subunit ribosomal RNA
Source: RNAcentral